AGGACGGAGCACGAGAAACUUUGUCUGAACAUGGGGGGACCAUCCUCCAAGGCUAAAUACUACUGACUGACCGAUAGUGAACCAGUACCGUGAGGGAAAGGCGAAAAGAACCCCGGAGAGGGGAGUGAAAUAGAACCUGAAACCGUAUGCGUACAAGCAGUGGGAGCCUACUUGUUAGGUGACUGCGUACCUUUUGUAUAAUGGGUCAGCGACUUAUAUUCAGUGGCAAGCUUAACCGUAUAGGGUAGGCGUAGCGAAAGCGAGUCUUAAUAGGGCGUUUAGUCGCUGGGUAUAGACCCGAAACCGGGCGAUCUAUCCAUGAGCAGGUUGAAGGUUAGGUAACACUGACUGGAGGACCGAACCCACUCCCGUUGAAAAGGUAGGGGAUGACUUGUGGAUCGGAGUGAAAGGCUAAUCAAGCUCGGAGAUAGCUGGUUCUCCUCGAAAGCUAUUUAGGUAGCGCCUCAUGUAUCACUCUGGGGGGUAGAGCACUGUUUCGGCUAGGGGGUCAUCCCGACUUACCAAACCGAUGCAAACUCCGAAUACCCAGAAGUGCCGAGCAUGGGAGACACACGGCGGGUGCUAACGUCCGUCGUGAAAAGGGAAACAACCCAGACCGCCAGCUAAGGUCCCAAAGUUGUGGUUAAGUGGUAAACGAUGUGGGAAGGCUUAGACAGCUAGGAGGUUGGCUUAGAAGCAGCCAUCCUUUAAAGAAAGCGUAAUAGCUCACUAGUCGAGUCGGCCUGCGCGGAAGAUGUAACGGGGCUCAAACCACACACCGAAGCUGCGGGUGUCACGUAAGUGACGCGGUAGAGGAGCGUUCUGUAAGCCUGUGAAGGUGAGUUGAGAAGCUUGCUGGAGGUAUCAGAAGUGCGAAUGCUGACAUGAGUAACGACAAUGGGUGUGAAAAACACCCACGCCGAAAGACCAAGGGUUCCUGCGCAACGUUAAUCGACGCAGGGUUAGUCGGUUCCUAAGGCGAGGCUGAAAAGCGUAGUCGAUGGGAAACAGGUUAAUAUUCCUGUACUUCUGGUUACUGCGAUGGAGGGACGGAGAAGGCUAGGCCAGCUUGGCGUUGGUUGUCCAAGUUUAAGGUGGUAGGCUGAAAUCUUAGGUAAAUCCGGGGUUUCAAGGCCGAGAGCUGAUGACGAGUCGUCUUUUAGAUGACGAAGUGGUUGAUGCCAUGCUUCCAAGAAAAGCUUCUAAGCUUCAGGUAACCAGGAACCGUACCCCAAACCGACACAGGUGGUCGGGUAGAGAAUACCAAGGCGCUUGAGAGAACUCGGGUGAAGGAACUAGGCAAAAUGGCACCGUAACUUCGGGAGAAGGUGCGCCGGCUAGGGUGAAGGAUUUACUCCGUAAGCUCUGGCUGGUCGAAGAUACCAGGCCGCUGCGACUGUUUAUUAAAAACACAGCACUCUGCAAACACGAAAGUGGACGUAUAGGGUGUGACGCCUGCCCGGUGCCGGAAGGUUAAUUGAUGGGGUUAGCGCAAGCGAAGCUCUUGAUCGAAGCCCCGGUAAACGGCGGCCGUAACUAUAACGGUCCUAAGGUAGCGAAAUUCCUUGUCGGGUAAGUUCCGACCUGCACGAAUGGCGUAACGAUGGCGGCGCUGUCUCCACCCGAGACUCAGUGAAAUUGAAAUCGCUGUGAAGAUGCAGUGUAUCCGCGGCUAGACGGAAAGACCCCGUGAACCUUUACUGUAGCUUUGCACUGGACUUUGAGCCUGCUUGUGUAGGAUAGGUGGGAGGCUUUGAAGCGUGGACGCCAGUUCGCGUGGAGCCAUCCUUGAAAUACCACCCUGGCAUGCUU
RNAcentral lists this ribosomal RNA (1812 nucleotides) under Pseudomonas aeruginosa. Its description in RNAcentral is "partial 23S ribosomal RNA". It matches the Rfam family "Bacterial large subunit ribosomal RNA", at positions 414 to 2215 of the family's 2925-position model. The record is from RNAcentral. Lineage: Bacteria; Pseudomonadati; Pseudomonadota; Gammaproteobacteria; Pseudomonadales; Pseudomonadaceae.